UGUUGAUAAAAUUUGUCAUGUUUCAGCAUUUGUAAAAACUAAAGUGGUUUAAGGCAACAGGUUUCCACACAAAUUUCUAGUAAACUCAACUAAUCAAGGAUUAGAGUGUCUUUUUAUAAUUUAUGAUUA
Long non-coding RNA from Melanotaenia boesemani (Boeseman's rainbowfish), 129 nucleotides. RefSeq lists it as uncharacterized. NCBI's taxonomy places the organism in Eukaryota, Metazoa, Chordata, Actinopteri, Atheriniformes, Melanotaeniidae. The record is from RefSeq and is a predicted model, not a curated record. The transcript has 3 exons.